RNAcentral lists this small RNA (3122 nucleotides) under Histoplasma capsulatum. RNAcentral's name for it is "hypothetical RNA". Lineage: Eukaryota; Fungi; Ascomycota; Eurotiomycetes; Onygenales; Ajellomycetaceae. RNAcentral also lists the same sequence under 1 other name. The record is from RNAcentral.
GAAAUGACUACUGCAGCAAAAAAGGGAGCCGGUCAUGGUCCUGUUGACUUGCCAAAAUUGAAGGGGUUGGAGGUGGGUGAUGAAGGCAGAAUAUACGGGAAGGAUGGAAAGGUUUUAGGACGGGUCGUUGAAGGAGACCCCAACGACCUUGUUGGGCAGGUGGUGGGGGGUGCUGGAGAAAUUUUCGAUGAGCAUGGACGCGCAGUUGGCAGGGUGGAGGUUUUGUCUAAGAUAACUCAGCAACAAGUGAAUGAGCCUGUUAGUAAAACAGCCCCUAUCGAUUUUGAUGCCCUCCAAGGCCUCGAAGUCAGUGAGGGAGGGAAGAUCAAAAGCUCCACUGGUGAGGUGAUAGCGAAAGUGGUAGAAGGACGCCCAGAUGACCUUGUCGGUUUCGCUCUCAAUGAACAAGGUGAAGUCAUUGAUGGAGAUGGCGAGGCGAUUGGUCGGGUAGAGAUUCUUCCCCAAGCAGGGAGGAAGGAUGACGGGAAUAUCAAAGAGAGUGGAACCGAGAAACAAGUAAAGGUCAAUGCCGAACAAGCCACUGAGAGCGUGGCUGAUGUCUCCGCGAAUGAUGCUGGCCCCGAAACUAAGUCACCUGGCGCCCCUGAUUUGUCCAAAUUGGCCGGCCUGAUAGUGAACAAGAAUGGAGAAGUGGCUGAUGGUGCUGGAAAUGUUCACGGGAAACUUGAGGAGGGAAGGUUAGAAGACAUUGUUGGUAAAACGGUCAACGAACGUGGUUUAGUGUUGGACAAUGAUGGUAAUAUUAUUGGCAAAGCAGCCGUUGUCGAAGAGACUGUGGAUAAAAGAGAGGACGAAGGAUCGAAUAUUCCCCCACUUUCGACACUGGAAGGGCUGAGAUGCAAUAAACAAGGAACGAUCGUGGAUAGGGAUGGGAACCCAGUGGGAAAAUUGGUUGAAGGCAAUGCUAGGGCCAUUUGGAAAUACGGCGCUCAAAUUGACGCGCAAGGCCAAUUCUCGGAUAAUAGGGGCCGGGUUAUUGGGAAAGCAAAAACAAUUGAGCAAAAAGAGGGGGGGGAGGAUGUACCAUUUGCCGGGUUUGAAAGUUUGUUUGUUAGUAAAGAUGGGUGGGUAGAAGACGAAAAUGGAAACAAAAUCGGCCAGAUUGUUCAGGGAGAUUCGAAAAAACUUUUGGGAAGGGCUGUCGACCCUGACGGCGAUAUCCUUGACAAAAGAGGUAAUGUCGUUGGGCACGCAGAGAAGUACGAAGAGAAACCAGGGCCAGAAAAGGAAGAGUUGUCAAUUCUAAAGGGGUUAUCACCAAAUAAACACGGAAACAUCAUGGGACCCGACGGAAUACCUAUUGGUAGGGUCAUCGAGGGAAAUCCUGAACAACUAGUUGGUAAAAAGGUUGAUGAGAAUGGCUGUAUAUGGAAUGAUUCUGGACAGCACAUUGGCCAAUGCGAAUUGAUACCGGAAGAAGAACGGGACAUAAAAGCGGAGUGUCCUUUUGCUGGCAUUGAUGUGUUGGUUGUUGUCAAUGACGGCUUGGUCGAAGAUGAAAACGGGAAUGUUGUUGGCAAAGUUAGUGAGGGCGACGUCAAAAAAUUACGUGGGAGAGCAGUAGACGAAGAUGGCGACAUCAUUGACAAACACGGGAAUGUUAAGGGGCAUGUCGAGCCUUACGGGGCGCUUGAAGAGGAAGUCGUGGGGGAAGAUCUGUCACUAUUAGCGGGCAAAGCAAUUAACAAAGCUGGUAAAAUCGUUGACGAAUCCGGAGUCACGAUUGGGCACGUUGUCUCAGGUGAUCCAAAGAAGCUUUCUGGAAGGACGGUGGAUGAUAAAGGCCAAAUAUGGGGUGACAGGGGCGAAGUUAUCGGGAAAGCAGAGCUUAUGCCGGAAGCAAAAGGGAACAAAGCCGAUGGGCCGUUCUCCGGAUUCCAGAGUCUUACAGUGGGUAAGGAUAAUGUCGUUCUAGACAGCUCAUGUCAGGUAGUCGGGCGCGUCGUCGAAGGCGACAUGGAAAAUCUUAUGGGUCGACCAGUAGAUAAGGAUGGUGGCAUCACCGAUAAAGCCGGACACACCCUCGGAAAAGCCGAACGCUUGGAGCCAAAAGAGAAAAAACUGGAAAUCAACCCAAUGUCUGGACGCAAGGUCAACAAAGAGGGAGAAGUGUGUGAUGCAGAUGGCAACCUGAUCGGAAAAUUGACAGCGGGAAAAUUGAACAACCUUGCUGGAAGGUCUAUUGACGACAGUGGAUAUGUGGUCGACAAUGACGGGAAUAAAAUUGGAGAAUGCACGCUGCUGGAACACAUACACGAAGAGAUUGAGGAGCCUGAGAUGUCUCCAGAACAGCUCGAAGCUGAGAAACAUGCAGAGCAGGAAAGGGGUCUCGCUAAGGAAAUGUGCUCCAUCGUGCAACAGACACUCGGUAAGGUCGGCGCUGUGUGUGAGAUGAUCAAGGAGCACACCGAGAGAGCGGACAGAACACCGAAGGCCGAACUUGACGAGGAGGAACUCGUGCGAAACGUCAAGCCACUCAUCGAAGAAGGCAGCAAUCACCUGCAAGAAUGCAACGGGGCUCUGCGGGCACUCGAUCCCGACGGGCAUAUAGCAGCCAAGGCGAAAUCGAAGUCCGCGCAGCCCGAAGCAUCGCACGAAGAACACCAGCUGGCGGAUCUCCUCAAGGAACUCACGUCCACCGUGGCCACGACUAUAGACAAUGCACGGAAGCGGAUUGCUGAUAUGCCCCACGCGAAGAAAAAGCUCAACCCGCUCUGGGCGCUGCUGAGCGAACCGUUGGUCUCCUCCUCACCGGCGUUCUUGGUUUGGUGGGCAGACUGCUCAAUGGGCUGGGUCUGGGUGGCUUGGUAAAUGGGCUCCUCGGUGGAUUGGGUAUCAAUAAGCUCCUUGAUGAGUUGGGCUUGGGGUCUGUCACAGACGCUCUGAACCUUGGAGGCGAUAAAAAGAAACAGCAAACUCCUUGAAAAUGGUGACAAUGAGCCUGGUUUUGUUUUGAUGCCUAUUCUGAGCCUUUUUAUCAUUCUCAUUUUCAUUUUGUGUGUUCGAUUAUAUUUACUUCAUUUGCUGUUGAUAAAAAAUUGUCAAGCUCGUUUCAAUGUCAAAAUUUAUAAACUGUAUUAGUAUCAGUUUGAUGUCAUAGC